GGUGAAAAGCACCCCGGAAGGGGAGUGAAAUAGAACCUGAAACCGUGUGCUUACAAGUAGUCAGAGCCCGUUAAUGGGUGAUGGCGUGCCUUUUGUAGAAUGAACCGGCGAGUUACGAUUUGAUGCAAGGUUAAGCAGUAAAUGUGGAGCCGUAGCGAAAGCGAGUCUGAAUAGGGCGUUUAGUAUUUGGUCGUAGACCCGAAACCAGGUGAUCUACCCUUGGUCAGGUUGAAGUUCAGGUAACACUGAAUGGAGGACCGAACCGACUUACGUUGAAAAGUGAGCGGAUGAACUGAGGGUAGCGGAGAAAUUCCAAUCGAACCUGGAGAUAGCUGGUUCUCUCCGAAAUAGCUUUAGGGCUAGCCUCAAGUGAUGAUUAUUGGAGGUAGAGCACUGUUUGGACGAGGGGCCCCUCUCGGGUUACCGAAUUCAGACAAACUCCGAAUGCCAAUUAAUUUAACUUGGGAGUCAGAACAUGGGUGAUAAGGUCCGUGUUCGAAAGGGAAACAGCCCAGACCACCAGCUAAGGUCCCAAAAUAUAUGUUAAGUGGAAAAGGAUGUGGCGUUGCCCAGACAACUAGGAUGUUGGCUUAGAAGCAGCCAUCAUUUAAAGAGUGCGUAAUAGCUCACUAGUCGAGUGACACUGCGCCGAAAAUGUACCGGGGCUAAACAUAUUACCGAAGCUGUGGAUUGUCCUUUGGACAAU
RNAcentral lists this ribosomal RNA (706 nucleotides) under Staphylococcus aureus. RNAcentral's name for it is "partial 23S ribosomal RNA". It matches the Rfam family "Bacterial large subunit ribosomal RNA", at positions 513 to 1226 of the family's 2925-position model. The record is from RNAcentral. Lineage: Bacteria; Bacillati; Bacillota; Bacilli; Caryophanales; Staphylococcaceae.